ACGCUAGCUACAGGCUUAACACAUGCAAGUCGAGGGGAAACGGCAUUGAGUGCUUGCACUCUUUGGACGUCGACCGGCGCACGGGUGAGUAACGCGUAUCCAACCUUCCCAUUACUGUGGGAUAACCUGCCGAAAGGCAGACUAAUACCGCAUAGUCUUCGAUGACGGCAUCAGAUUUGAAGUAAAGAUUUAUCGGUAAUGGAUGGGGAUGCGUCUGAUUAGCUUGUUGGCGGAGUAACGGCCCACCAAGGCGACGAUCAGUAGGGGUUCUGAGAGGAAGGUCCCCCACAUUGGAACUGAGACACGGUCCAAACUCCUACGGGAGGCAGCAGUGAGGAAUAUUGGUCAAUGGACGGAAGUCUGAACCAGCCAAGUAGCGUGCAGGAUGACGGCCCUAUGGGUUGUAAACUGCUUUUGUAUGGGGAUAAAGUUAGGGACGUGUCCCUAUUUGCAGGUACCAUACGAAUAAGGACCGGCUAAUUCCGUGCCAGCAGCCGCGGUAAUACGGAAGGUCCAGGCGUUAUCCGGAUUUAUUGGGUUUAAAGGGAGCGUAGGCUGGAGAUUAAGUGUGUUGUGAAAUGUAGACGCUCAACGUCUGAAUUGCAGCGCAUACUGGUUUCCUUGAGUACGCACAACGUUGGCGGAAUUCGUCGUGUAGCGGUGAAAUGCUUAGAUAUGACGAAGAACUCCGAUUGCGAAGGCAGCUGACGGGAGCGCAACUGACGCUUAAGCUCGAAGGUGCGGGUAUCAAACAGGAUUAGAUACCCUGGUAGUCCGCACAGUAAACGAUGGAUGCCCGCUGUUGGUACCUGGUAUCAGCGGCUAAGCGAAAGCAUUAAGCAUCCCACCUGGGGAGUACGCCGGCAACGGUGAAACUCAAAGGAAUUGACGGGGGCCCGCACAAGCGGAGGAACAUGUGG
This 920-nucleotide ribosomal RNA is filed under the name uncultured bacterium. RNAcentral's name for it is "bacterial SSU rRNA". It matches the Rfam family "Bacterial small subunit ribosomal RNA", at positions 33 to 944 of the family's 1533-position model. The record is from RNAcentral.